Molecule: ribosomal RNA, 215 nt
Filed under: uncultured bacterium
Lineage: Bacteria
Description: partial 16S ribosomal RNA
Rfam family: Bacterial small subunit ribosomal RNA
Source: RNAcentral
UACGUAGGGGGCAAGCGUUGUCCGGAUUUAUUGGGCGUAAAGAGCGUGUAGGCGGCCAGACAGGUCCGUUGUGAAAACUCGAGGCUCAACCUCGAGACGCCGAUGGAAACCGUCUGGCUAGAGUCCGGAAGAGGAGAGUGGAAUUCCUGGUGUAGCGGUGAAAUGCGCAGAAUAUCGGGAAGAACACCCGUGGCGAAGGCGGCUCUCUGGGCGGU